Molecule: long non-coding RNA, 1341 nt
Filed under: Oncorhynchus mykiss (rainbow trout)
Lineage: Eukaryota; Metazoa; Chordata; Actinopteri; Salmoniformes; Salmonidae
Description: lncRNA (ENSOMYG00000070534.1)
Source: RNAcentral
AUGUUACUGAAGCUGCUGUCUGUGGCUGAGGCCUUUCUCCGCACUGGGGACCACCACCACCUGCAAGCUGGGGACCACCUCUGCACUGUGGACCACCACCUGCGAGCUGGGGACCAUCUCCACACUGGGGACCACAUAGACAAAGUGUGGAACAUCUUUAGCUUGGUCCUGUGGGACAGCAUGGCAGAGGCUCUGGAGGAUCCUGGGGCUGCAGUGGAAUCAUUGUGGGAACCUAGGGAUGCUGUCCGUCUGUUACGAGACAGUGAGAGAGUGGAGACAGAGCUUCUCCAGGAGUUGGAGGAAUGCUGGGCAGACGGGGGAACUGAGAGCCUGUUACAGAGUGUUACAGUACUAGCUCAGUUGCUACGUGAUCUCCACCCUCUUCAGGACAGUCUGUGCCUCUCCCCUCCUGAAGAGGGGGCUGUGUACCCCUGCCGCUCUCGCAGACUCCAUAGAGUCACCCGUUUCCAGGGCCUGCCUGCACGGGUCAUCCGCAAAGCACUGGGACACGGAGCUCCCUCCAAACACCCAGUCCCAGCUGGUCUCCCCAUCCAGUACAGAGAUCUCUGCCUUUGCAUCACACGUCUGCUGGACAGGGUGCACCCACAAGAAAACACUACCUCCAUAGAUCUCUCCCAGGCUCCUAUUGCUACCAUCACCCAGCACAUCUGCUCAACCCUGGCCCGGCCGGCGUUCGGCCCCCAGAGCUUUGAUGCUGGGGUGAGACACAGGGUUCUGUCUGUGGUAAAGUAUGACCCGGUCAGGUGGGGCCUGCUUAACUUACAGGAGCUGCAUAAAGACACUAUGUUGGGUCUGGAGAGCUACCUGAAGCCAGGGGAGCAUCACAGCUUCCAGCUUGUCCCAGAGAAAGUACGGAUCUUCGGAGGGCCAGAGAUACGCUGGGGAGAAAGGGUCAGGGGCCCAGUCGCCAUCGACAACGGGAUAGAGGAAGUCCUCCAAUUUGUCACCUCCGAGCCAGCCUCCUUUCUUAUCAGUGUUAGCUGCCGCGGCUAUGACAGGGGCCAGUACUUUGAGGUACACGAGCCGCAGUGUGUGCGUGUGUCUGGACUGCAGGAGCAGGGGGUGGGCGAGGUGCAGGGUUUAGGGGGGACAGUGUUGGUUUUGGCAGUAGAGGGCGAGACAGUGUGGAUGAGAGAGGAGAGGCAGGGGAGGGCGUGCGGGACAGAGCUGGAGCAGGUGUCUCAGAGACACUCUGCCACACUACAGGACGGGGGCUGCUGCUUCAGGGUCACGACCCCAGGGACACGUUGCCAGGUCAAGUUCAUCUACAAGACAAGGAGGAUCUCUGCUGUGGCUGAGAGGGACUGUGAAGUUUUCUAA